This 20-nucleotide non-coding RNA is filed under the name Arabidopsis thaliana (thale cress). The record is from RNAcentral. Lineage: Eukaryota; Viridiplantae; Streptophyta; Magnoliopsida; Brassicales; Brassicaceae.
CAUGGAUAGGGUCUCACUCU